UACAGAGGGGGCAAGCGUUAUUCGGAAUUAUUGGGCGUAAAGGGCGCGUAGGCGGCUUGGCAAGUGGAAGGUGAAAUCCCUCGGCUUAACCGAGGAACUGCCCUCCAAACUGCUUCGCUUGAGACCGGGAGAGGUGAGUGGAAUUCCCAGUGUAGCGGUGAAAUGCGUAGAUAUUGGGAGGAACACCAGUGGCGUAGGCGGCUCACUGGACCGGUACUGACGCUGAUGCGCGAAAGCGUGGGGAGCAAACGGG
Molecule: ribosomal RNA, 253 nt
Filed under: uncultured bacterium
Lineage: Bacteria
Description: partial 16S ribosomal RNA
Rfam family: Bacterial small subunit ribosomal RNA
Source: RNAcentral